RNAcentral lists this ribosomal RNA (429 nucleotides) under Nodopelta rigneae. RNAcentral's name for it is "partial 16S ribosomal RNA". It matches the Rfam family "Bacterial large subunit ribosomal RNA", at positions 1813 to 2514 of the family's 2925-position model. The record is from RNAcentral. Lineage: Eukaryota; Metazoa; Mollusca; Gastropoda; Neomphalida; Peltospiridae.
ACAUGGCUCUUUGUUUUAAACAGAUAGAGAGUCGGACCUGCCCGGUGAAUAAUGAUUUAACGGCCGCGGUACCCUGACCGUGCAAAGGUAGCAUAAUCAUUUGCCUUUUAAUUAAAGGCUGGUAUGAAUGGUUUGACGAAAACAAGACUGUCUCUUACCUAAUAUUUAAAAAUUAAUUUUGAUGUGAAGAAGCAUUAAUAAUUCUAAAAGACAAGAAGACCCUGUUGAGCUUUAACGAAAUAAAAAAAUAAUUUUAUGAAUCAAAAAAAUAUUUUUUUUAUAUCUUUUUAGUUGGGGCGACUAAGGAACAAAAUAGCUUCCUUUUAUAGAAAAGAUUUAUUGGUAUUGAUCCAGGAAAUCCUGAUUAGAAGUAUUAGUUACCACAGGGAUAACAGCGUAAUCCUUUUUUAGAGUUCUUAUCGAAAAAAG